AUGACGGACGAGAGAAUUAGGAAGCACUUAAAAGAAGCCAAAAAAAACACACACACACACAAAACCCCACCAAGUCCUCAAAACAUCCGGGUUAAAAGGCUGUGCAUAUUUCUUGUGCAGCUGUAAAUUCAGAAGAUCUUGAAUGUGCAUGAAUGCACUAAGGAGGAGGAGAAGGAGGAUCAUCUAUAGAGAAACAUUAAAAGUAACCCUGCUGGGUCUGGCGUGUGUUUCUCGCAGUGACCAACCAGCUCCCUCUCAUCCUUCCAAGCAAGAAAUGAAUAAACAUCUCUUUCCUGCAGCUUCUCCCUGAUCUGCUUUGGAGGACACCCCAACCCUACCCCCAGUCUGGAGGCAUCUAAUAACAUCCCACAUCUCUGCCCUCCAAUCCACUUUUAAAGCCAGCUAAGUAUGCAGACAUCAUGAAGCUUUGUGGUUAAUGGAUUCUGCAGGCUAUUUACUCAUAUAGCAAGUGCAAACAUCAAGAUUGUUUCUCUAAACGUAAUGAGCCAAAGGAGUUCUUUAACUAAUAUCCCUGUAGGCAUCUGCUACAAACUGCAGUGAUGAUGUAAGAGUGACAGAACAGGCAUUGGGAUGUGACAGGGCAACUCCCAGCCUUUCAAAGCAACCUCAAUUAAAUAAUUGUAUAUGGAUUCUAAAAUGAACUUCAUUGUAUAGAUCUGAAAUACAUUUUCUCCAACCUGGUUCUAAACGUGUUAAGUACAACUCCUAAAAUUUCAUUUUCCUAGGCUAGCUAGAAAUUAUGGAUGUGUGAUUCAGCCUAUUUGGAAAACACCAAUGUGAGAAAGUUGACUUAAGGAUGACUGAAUGGUGAAUUUUUUCAUUACUGCUUGCAUAAAUGAGAUUUCAAAAGCAUCCCAUCAGGAAGGGUCUGCAAACCCAAAAAUGUUAAGAAAUAAUUAUAAUUUUAAUUAAUUUACUUGUUGUUGGUCUAACAACCCCAUUUAUAAAUUAAGGUUUUGCUUUCUAAAGUAACUUCAUAUUCACAAAUCUGUUUACUUUUAUUUUCCUGAUCAAUACGUUGAAAGUGAAAUCCCAAGCAUACUGUGAUGGAAUGGAAUUAUGAAGGCCAGGCUCAGGGAUAUAAACAUUUUCUUAGCUCGCCAGAGGAGCGUGGGAGAUACAAGAGG
This is a long non-coding RNA of Python bivittatus (Burmese python), 1148 nucleotides long. RefSeq lists it as uncharacterized. The record is from RefSeq and is a predicted model, not a curated record. NCBI's taxonomy places the organism in Eukaryota, Metazoa, Chordata, Lepidosauria, Squamata, Pythonidae.